AACGAACGCUGGCGGUAUGCCUAACACAUGCAAGUCGAACGAGACCUUCGGGUCUAGUGGCGCACGGGUGCGUAACGCGUGGGAACCUGCCCUUAGGUUCGGAAUAACUCCCCGAAAGGGGUGCUAAUACCGGAUAAUGUCUUCGGACCAAAGAUUUAUCGCCUUUGGAUGGGCCCGCGUUGGAUUAGCUAGUUGGUAGGGUAAAAGCCUACCAAGGCGACGAUCCAUAGCUGGUCUGAGAGGAUGAUCAGCCACAUUGGGACUGAGACACGGCCCAGACUCCUACGGGAGGCAGCAGUGGGGAAUAUUGGACAAUGGGCGAAAGCCUGAUCCAGCAAUGCCGCGUGAGUGAUGAAGGCCUUAGGGUUGUAAAGCUCUUUUAACCGGGAUGAUAAUGACAGUACCGGGAGAAUAAGCUCCGGCUAACUCCGUG
This 433-nucleotide ribosomal RNA is filed under the name uncultured bacterium. Its description in RNAcentral is "partial 16S ribosomal RNA". It matches the Rfam family "Bacterial small subunit ribosomal RNA", at positions 29 to 507 of the family's 1533-position model. The record is from RNAcentral.